This 697-nucleotide ribosomal RNA is filed under the name Pallidibacillus thermolactis subsp. kokeshiiformis. RNAcentral describes it as "bacterial SSU rRNA". It matches the Rfam family "Bacterial small subunit ribosomal RNA", at positions 75 to 754 of the family's 1533-position model. Lineage: Bacteria; Bacillati; Bacillota; Bacilli; Caryophanales; Bacillaceae. The record is from RNAcentral.
AAAGCUUGCUUUUCUUGAGGUUAGCGGCGGACGGGUGAGUAACACGUGGGCAACCUACCUGUAAGACUGGGAUAACUUACGGAAACGUGAGCUAAUACCGGAUAGUUUCACUUCUCGCAUGAGAAGUGAAGGAAAGAUGGCUUUUAGCUAUCACUUACAGAUGGGCCCGCGGCGCAUUAGCUAGUUGGUGGGGUAAAGGCCUACCAAGGCAACGAUGCGUAGCCGACCUGAGAGGGUGAUCGGCCACACUGGGACUGAGACACGGCCCAGACUCCUACGGGAGGCAGCAGUAGGGAAUCUUCCGCAAUGGACGAAAGUCUGACGGAGCAACGCCGCGUGAGCGAAGAAGGUCUUCGGAUCGUAAAGCUCUGUUGUUAGGGAAGAACAAGUACCGGAGUAACUGUCGGUACCUUGACGGUACCUAACCAGAAAGCCACGGCUAACUACGUGCCAGCAGCCGCGGUAAUACGUAGGUGGCAAGCGUUGUCCGGAAUCAUUGGGCGUAAAGCGCGCGCAGGCGGUCCUUUAAGUCUGAUGUGAAAUCUUGCGGCUCAACCGUAAGCGGUCAUUGGAAACUGGGGGACUUGAGUGCAGGAGAGGAAAGCGGAAUUCCAUGUGUAGCGGUGAAAUGCGUAGAGAUAUGGAGGAACACCAGUGGCGAANGCGGCUUUCUGGCCUGUAACUGACGCUGAGGCGC